GCCCCUGUAGCUCAGAGGAGAGAGCAGCGGUUUCCUAAACCGCGUGUCGGGGGUUCGAGUCCCUCCAGGGGCGCCU
Molecule: transfer RNA, 76 nt
Filed under: Anaerolineae bacterium
Lineage: Bacteria; Bacillati; Chloroflexota; Anaerolineae
Description: tRNA-Arg
Rfam family: tRNA
About the family: Transfer RNA (tRNA) molecules are approximately 80 nucleotides in length. Their secondary structure includes four short double-helical elements and three loops (D, anti-codon, and T loops). Further hydrogen bonds mediate the characteristic L-shaped molecular structure. tRNAs have two regions of fundamental functional importance: the anti-codon, which is responsible for specific mRNA codon recognition, and the 3' end, to which the tRNAs corresponding amino acid is attached (by aminoacyl-tRNA synthetases). tRNAs cope with the degeneracy of the genetic code in two manners: having more than one tRNA (with a specific anti-codon) for a particular amino acid; and 'wobble' base-pairing, i.e. permitting non-standard base-pairing at the 3rd anti-codon position.
Source: RNAcentral